UACGUAGGGUCCAAGCGUUAAUCGGAAUUACUGGGCGUAAAGCGUGCGCAGGCGGUUGUGUAAGCCAGAUGUGAAAUCCCCGGGCUUAACCUGGGAAUGGCAUUUGGGACUGCACGGCUAGAGUACGGCAGAGGGGACUAGAAUUCCUGGUGUAGCAGUGAAAUGCGUAGAUAUCAGGAGGAAUACCGAUGGCGAAGGCAGGUCCCUGGGUCGAUACUGACGCUCAUGCACGAAAGCGUGGGGAGCAAAC
RNAcentral lists this ribosomal RNA (250 nucleotides) under uncultured bacterium. RNAcentral's name for it is "partial 16S ribosomal RNA". It matches the Rfam family "Bacterial small subunit ribosomal RNA", at positions 524 to 773 of the family's 1533-position model. The record is from RNAcentral.